GUCUCUUUCCAUAGGCAUUUCAAGUUGUUUACAUCUCCGAAAACACCCACAAUGUUCUCCCAAAUUCAGAUGUUCUCUCACUCUCCCCUCUAAUUCAAUCCAAUUGAAUUCUCCUAAAACCAGAAAUCUCUCUCCCGUUUUACAAACUGAAACCCCAAUUCAUCUUAUCUCUCCCAAAUUCUACUACCUAUCUUUCCUUUCUAUGACUCUUUCUUUUCCUCUCAACUCCCUUGCCUCCUCUGGAACUACACCACCCA
RNAcentral lists this unclassified non-coding RNA (257 nucleotides) under Hevea brasiliensis (rubber tree). The record is from RNAcentral. Lineage: Eukaryota; Viridiplantae; Streptophyta; Magnoliopsida; Malpighiales; Euphorbiaceae.